CCUUUACGAUGGAAAUUAGGUUUGGAGGACACUAAAACCAGAAGGUUUACGUCUAAUGUUCAUUGUAAUCAUUAAGACUUUUUUUUUUCAGUUUAACUGAAUUACGCCACUGUUGAGCUUUCUAACAGAGAGUUUGUUUGGGCGGUAUAUUUUAAUUGUUUCUCUGAUGGUAUCCUAAAGCAAGUGAAUUGAUAUGUAAAACAUUAGUUUAGACCCAUUCCACUAUUUAAUAAUGAAAUUUAUUUUUUUAAUUUAAAAACUAAAUAAAAGCUGAAAUUUGAACCAUGUAAAGCAGAGUAAUUUAUUGCUCAGGAGGCAGUCCAGUGGCAGAACAUGUUGGUUUGACCAGGUCAGGAGGCAGUAGGUUAUCCGAGACCGGGGCCUGUCCCCAGGAGCGAGCUGAGGAGCCGGCGAGCGGUGACCAUCCCACGGCUUGCAGCGUGCCAUGGGGCGGGCGCACAGGCCAGCUGGCCACCCGGGGCCUAUGCCCGGGGUGAUAGCCACUCGAGCCAAGGGGAGGCCACCCGAAGGAGCUCGCCUUUAAGGAUGCCUCGGCCAAGUGGGGCAUCCCAACAUGAUCAUGAGGCCAAAUUGCCUGGGUAAGCCAAUUUCAUGGAUACUUUUCAACAGAAUGAUACAAGCUGGUUGUGGAACAUCAAGAUCUCCAGUACUAUAAACUGAAAAACACCGGCAUAUCCAGUUUUAUUUUCAAGAAGGUGGUAUCUAACCGCAUCUCAGCUAUACUGGAAAUGUUAUUCUUUUUCUCCUUUCUUCAUCCUAUGUUGUUUAAUAUUAUCUUUGUGAUUGAAUAACCUUUUAAUGUAGUUGUCAUAGGUCUUCAUAUUGAAUCUUGAACAAGCUCAUUUUCAUUUAUCAAAAAUUAUUUCCUAUUGCUAUGAAUGGUGGACUUCACAGGGAAAUAGUUGCAUGAAUGGGCAUAGUUUUGCUCUUUUCUCAUGGUUUUUACAAGAUUCUUGACCUGAUGAGUAUACUGGAGUUUUCUACAAAAAAAUAGAUAUGGCGUGUAUAUGCAAGCUUUUUUAAAAAAAUAAAAUGCCUGAUUAAUAAAUUGAGAAUGGGGAA
Molecule: long non-coding RNA, 1083 nt
Filed under: Struthio camelus australis
Lineage: Eukaryota; Metazoa; Chordata; Aves; Struthioniformes; Struthionidae
Description: lncRNA (ENSSCUG00000014610.1)
Source: RNAcentral